RNAcentral lists this long non-coding RNA (1069 nucleotides) under Homo sapiens (human). Its description in RNAcentral is "HSALNT0298248". Lineage: Eukaryota; Metazoa; Chordata; Mammalia; Primates; Hominidae. The record is from RNAcentral.
CUAUGACUAUUUAAAAUCAUUCUGGAUAUAUUAGUUAAUGGAAUUAACCAAAACACUAAAGUAGAAUAUAAAUAUCAGAAAUAAAGAAACAAAAUUAUCUUGAGUUUCAGAUAAUUAUAUACUUGGAAAACCCAAGAAAAUCAACAGAUAAAUAAUUAGACCUAUUAAAAAUGUUCAAGAAUCUUUACAGUAACUGUUACAGACUAAAUUGUGUACUCCCCAAAUUCAUAUAAUAAAGCUCUAUACUCCAAUGUGACUAUAUUUGGGCCUACAAAGAGAUGAUAAUAAUGGUUAAGUGAGGUCAUAAAGCUGGAACUUUAAGUUGAUUGGGCUGCUUCUUAAUAAGAAGAGGAAGCAACACCAGAGAUAUUUCUGUCUCCAUUUGUACAUACAAAAGAGGCCAUGUGAGGACACAGGUGAGAAGACUUCAUCCACAAGUCGGGGAAGAGAGACCUCACCAGAAACUGACCCUGAGCUUGGAGUUAGAGCCUGCACAAUUGUGCCAUUCCUCUCUUCUGAGCUCCUCUCUGGCCAACUUUAACUCAUCGAUUGGUUCUGCCACCCGCAACGUUGGCUCCAAAGGCCUGUAGCGUUGUUCUAAUACUUCGGUGAUAUCUCGGAAGGGCCCCUGACAAGACAGGAUGAGGAACAUAUUUUAUAUGGAAGAUUUUUUUGAGGAUCACUCACCCAGAGGGAAAUGAGUUACCAUGUUGUGAGGCAGCUCUGUGAAGAUGCCAAUGUGAGGAGGGGCUGAGGCAUGACAACACCCAACCAUAGACAGGCUCUCGCUAUGUUGCCCAGGCUGGUUGUGAACUCCUGGGCUCAAGUGAUCCUCCCACCUCACCCUCCCAAAGUGCUGGGAUUAUAGGCAUGAGCCACUGUGCCUCACCUGGCUGACAUCUGGACUACAACAUCAUGAGAGAACUUGAGUAAGAGGAACUCACCAAAGGCUGUACCUAGAAUGGCAAACCCAUAGAAACUGUGAAGUAACAAAUGUGGUAGAAUUUCAGACCGAGGAAAAGAACGGGCGCUUGUACAAGCUAGCCAAUCAGUAAGGCUGGUGGAGUCC